Molecule: non-coding RNA, 760 nt
Organism: Odocoileus virginianus texanus
Lineage: Eukaryota; Metazoa; Chordata; Mammalia; Artiodactyla; Cervidae
Source: RefSeq, a predicted model, not a curated record
AUGGCAUCAGAGAACCUACCUCAAGGUUCCACCAGACACCGUCUCCGCCAGCCCAGCAGCAGCCUCAUCUUCCCCAUGGCCUUCGUGCUCUCUCUACUGAUGGCCCUGGUGCUGGUCAGCUACGGCCCGGGAGGAUCCCUGGGCUGUGACCUGUCUCAGAACCGCGUGCUGGCUGGACAGAAUGGACUUCGCUUUCCCCCAGGAGAUGGUGGAGGGCGGCCAGCUGCAGGAGGUAAAACCACUCUUCUACACAUGCUCAAAGAUGACAGACUGGGCCAGCAUGUUCCAACAUUACAUCCAACAUCAGAAGAGCUGACAAUUGCUGGAAUGACUUUUACAACUUUUGAUCUUGGUGGGCAUGAGCAAGCACGUCGGGUUUGGAAAAAUUACCUCCCAGCAAUUAAUGGGAUUGUCUUUCUCGUGGACUGUGCAGAUCAUCCCCGACUUAUGGAAUCCAAAGUUGAGCUUAACGCUUUAAUGACAGAUGAGACAAUAUCCAAUGUGCCAAUCCUUAUCUUGGGUAACAAAAUUGACAGAACAGAUGCAAUCAGUGAAGAAAAACUCCGUGAGAUAUUUGGGCUUUAUGGACAGACCACAGGAAAGGGGAAUGUGACCCUGAAGGAGCUGAAUGCCUGCCCCAUGGAAGUGUUCAUGUGCAGUGUGCUCAAGAGGCAAGGAUACGGCGAGGGCUUCCGCUGGCUCUCCCAGUAUAUUGACUGAUGUUUGGACAGUGAAAAUAAAAGAGUUUUACUUCUCUGGA